CGAGACUGCGGUAAUAACCGGAGGAAGUGGGAUGACGUCAAAUCAUCAUGCCCCUUAUGACCUGGGCUACACACGUGCUACAAUGGUUGGUACAACGAGUUGCGAGUCGGUGACGGCGAGCUAAUCUCUUAAAGCCAAUCUCAGUUCGGAUUGUAGGCUGCAACUCGCCUACAUGAAGUCGGAAUCGCUAGUAAUCGCGGAUCAGCACGCCGCGGUGAAUACGUUCCCGGGCCUU
This 235-nucleotide ribosomal RNA is filed under the name uncultured Streptococcus sp. Its description in RNAcentral is "partial 16S ribosomal RNA". It matches the Rfam family "Bacterial small subunit ribosomal RNA", at positions 1144 to 1382 of the family's 1533-position model. Lineage: Bacteria; Bacillati; Bacillota; Bacilli; Lactobacillales; Streptococcaceae. The record is from RNAcentral.